UCCACGCCCUAAACGAUGAAUGCUAGUCGUCGGGACUCUUGUAGUUUCGGUGAUGCACUUAACAGAUUAAGCAUUCCGCCUGGGGAGUACGGUCGCAAGAUUAAAACUCAAAGGAAUAGACGGGGACCCGCACAAGUGGUGGAGCAUGUGGUUUAAUUCGAAGAUACGCGAAGAACCUUACCUAGCCUUGACAUUGAUUGAAUUUUCCAGAGAUGGAGAAGUGCCUUUCGGGG
RNAcentral lists this ribosomal RNA (233 nucleotides) under uncultured bacterium. RNAcentral describes it as "partial 16S ribosomal RNA". It matches the Rfam family "Bacterial small subunit ribosomal RNA", at positions 794 to 1026 of the family's 1533-position model. The record is from RNAcentral.